CUCCCGGUGAUCCCGCCGGACCUGACUGCUAUCGGAUUGGUACUAAGCCAUGCGAGUCGUUGUAGCAAUACAAGGCGGACGGCUCAGUAACACGUAGUCAACCUAACCUAUGGACGUGGAUAACCUCGGGAAACUGAGAAUAAACCGCGAUAGAUCAUUAUGCCUGGAAUGGCUUAUGGUUCAAACAAUUUAUUGCCGUAGGAUGGGACUGCGGCCUAUCAGCUUGUUGGUGAGGUAAUGGCCCACCAAGGCUAUAACAGGUACGGGCUCUGAGAGGAGAAGCCCGGAGAUGGGUACUGAGACACGGACCCAGGCCCUAUGGGGCGCAGCAGGCGAGAAACCUUAGCAAUGUGCGAAAGCACGACUAGGUUAAUCCGAGUGAUUUCUGUUGAAGAAAUCUUUUGUCAGUCGUAAAACCACAGACGAAUAAGGGGUGGGCAAGUCUGGUGUCAGCCGCCGCGGUAAUACCAGCACCUCGAGUGGUCAGGAGGUUUAUUGGGCCUAAAGCAUCCGUAGCCGGCUACGCAAGUCUCCGGUUAAAUCCAGCUGCUCAACAGAUGGGCUGCCGGAGAUACUACAUAGCUAGGGAGCGGGAGAGGUAGACGGUAUUCUGUGGGUAGGGGUAAAAUCCACUGAUCCAUAGAGGACCACCAGUGGCGAAGGCGGUCUACCAGAACGCGUUCGACGGUGAGGGAUGAAAGCUGGGGGAGCAAACCGGAUUAGAUACCCGGGUAGUCCCAGCUGUAAACGAUGCAAACUCGGUGAUGCAUUGGCUUAUGGCCAAUGCAGUGCCGCAGGGAAGCCGUUAAGUUUGCCGCCUGGGAAGUACGGACGCAAGUCUGAAACUUAAAGGAAUUGGCGGGGGAGCA
Molecule: ribosomal RNA, 869 nt
Filed under: uncultured archaeon
Lineage: Archaea
Description: bacterial SSU rRNA
Rfam family: Archaeal small subunit ribosomal RNA
Source: RNAcentral